GAAAUGCGAUAAGUAAUGAGAAUUGCAGAAUUCCGUGAAUCAUCGAAUCUUUGAACGCACAUUGCGCCCUCUGGCAUUCCGGGGGGCAUGCCUGUCCGAGCGUCAUUACGCACCCUCAAGCCCGGCUUGUGUGAUGGGCCCCGGCGUCUCGUUCGCGAGACGGGCCCGAAAGGCAGCGGCGGCGUCGACCCGAUGAGCCCGAGCGUAUGGGGACUUCUGUCACACGUUCGCGGUGCGGACCGGCGCCUGCUUGACUUUUCUGAUUAUCCAGGUUGACCUCGGAUCAGGUAGGGAUACCCGCUGAACUUAAGC
Molecule: unclassified non-coding RNA, 312 nt
Filed under: plant metagenome
Description: partial contains 5.8S ribosomal RNA, internal transcribed spacer 2, and large subunit ribosomal RNA
Rfam family: 5.8S ribosomal RNA (bases 1-105)
Source: RNAcentral